AGCAGCCGCGGUAAUUCCAGCUCCAAUAGCGUAUAUUAAAGUUGUUGCAGUUAAAAGCUCGUAGUUGAAUUUCGAGACCGGUCUACUGGUCGUGCUUUUGUACGUACUGGUAUAAUCGGUUUCUCUCUUCUGACGAACUAUAAUGCCAUUAAUUUGGUGUUUUAGGGAAUCAGGACUGUUACUUUGAAAAAUUAGAGUGUUUAAAGCAGGCUCACGCUUGAAUACAUUAGCAUGGAAUAACGAAAUAGGACGUUUGAUUCUAUUUUGUUGGUUUCUAGGAUCGACGUAAUGAUUAAUAGGGAUAGUUGGGGGCAUUAGUAUUCAAUUGUCAGAGGUGAAAUUCUUGGAUUUAUUGAAGACUAACUACUGCGAAAGCAUUUUGCCAAGGAUGUUUUCAUUAAUCAAGAACGAAAGUUAGGGAUCGAAGACGAUCAGAUACCGUCGUAGUCUUAACCAUAAACUAUGCCGACUAGGGAUCGGGAUGAUGUUAAAUUAAUGACUCAUUCGGCACCUUACGGGA
RNAcentral lists this unclassified non-coding RNA (520 nucleotides) under uncultured Glomus. RNAcentral's name for it is "SSU rRNA". It matches the Rfam family "Eukaryotic small subunit ribosomal RNA", at positions 569 to 1095 of the family's 1831-position model. Lineage: Eukaryota; Fungi; Glomeromycota; Glomeromycetes; Glomerales; Glomeraceae. The record is from RNAcentral. RNAcentral also lists the same sequence under 1 other name.